Molecule: long non-coding RNA, 285 nt
Filed under: Bos taurus (domestic cattle)
Lineage: Eukaryota; Metazoa; Chordata; Mammalia; Artiodactyla; Bovidae
Description: long non-coding RNA NONBTAT000950
Source: RNAcentral
AACUCAUCAGUUUUUAAGUAGUUUUGUUUUAAACCCAGCUUGGGUUAAGAGGCUUAUCUAAGGCAAUGCCUUAUGCCAGACAAAUAUUCAGCACAACACAACACUCACUGCAGCUGAACCUACAAGUCAGAGAAGCUAAGCACAAUACCAAGAGUUUUCUGAUAGCCAAACUCUACUCCUAGGGGUAAACUUUUAAUGUUAUAGAGUCUGGCAAUGUCCCUCCCUCUUGCUGUCUUCAUAGUAUUUCUAAGCCAACUAAGUUAUUGGUUAGUUUUCAUGUAAACU